UACGUAGGCAGCGAGCGUUGUUCGGAGUUACUGGGCGUAAAGGGUGUGUAGGCGGCUCUUUAAGUUUGGUGUGAAAUCUCCCGGCUCAACCGGGAGGGUGCGCCGAAUACUGAGGGACUAGAGUAUGGGAUGGGAAAGUGGAAUUCCUGGUGUAGCGGUGAAAUGCGUAGAUAUCAGGAGGAACACCUGUGGUGUAGACGGCUUUCUGGACCAUAACUGACGCUGAGGCACGAAAGCUAGGGGAGCAAACAGG
RNAcentral lists this ribosomal RNA (253 nucleotides) under uncultured bacterium. RNAcentral describes it as "partial 16S ribosomal RNA". It matches the Rfam family "Bacterial small subunit ribosomal RNA", at positions 524 to 776 of the family's 1533-position model. The record is from RNAcentral.